UUUAAUGGUCAUGUGUUGUUAUCCCCAAUUUGGAGUUAUUGCCUUCUUUGUACAUUUUGUCUUUCCUUGUCGGGUUGAUGUCUUUAAAAGGGAAAUAAUCUAUGUAGUAGUAGUUAAUUGGAAAUUUAGGGCGGUAUUAAUGAAUUUGUCUUGAGGACAGUAGUUGGUUAAACAAUUUUGUGUUUUUUUAAACUGGUAGUAUUUAGUAUUUAUUUUGACUACGUAAGUCAGAGUAGGAUAAAUUUUUUUUUUUU
Molecule: long non-coding RNA, 254 nt
Filed under: Mytilus galloprovincialis (Mediterranean mussel)
Lineage: Eukaryota; Metazoa; Mollusca; Bivalvia; Mytilida; Mytilidae
Source: RNAcentral